Molecule: long non-coding RNA, 1505 nt
Filed under: Heterocephalus glaber (naked mole-rat)
Lineage: Eukaryota; Metazoa; Chordata; Mammalia; Rodentia; Bathyergidae
Description: lncRNA (ENSHGLG00100038743.1)
Source: RNAcentral
GGGAAGGGGAGUGCAGCGCACCCCGGCGCCACUCACCUCCAGCCUCUCCUCGCGAGCCCCGGCUGGCAGCUCGCGGCGCCACUGCUCUGGGCUCCAGAGGGCGGGGCGGGCGCAGGGGGCGGAGCCGGCCGGGCUGGCAGCGCCAGAAUUAAACCCGGAGCGCGCGGCGGCCGGGCACUGACGGCCGCGGACGGUAGCUGCGCCCUGAAGCGAGCAGGAGUGUCCCGCGGGCCUGCGGUUAGGUCGGGCCGGGAGGAAGCCUAGGCUUACGCGGCGAUCUUUUGUACCCAGGAGCCGGCCGGCCCCAGUGCGCCUGCGCGCCGCUCAGCCUGCCGCGGACCCACGAGGCACCUAGGCGCACCUCCGCCCUGCAUGCUGUCCCCGAGUUGCAGUACUUACUCCCACCGCCCCGAGUGAAAACCAUGUCCCCAGUGAGACAGGUUGCAAUAAAAACCAAGUCAUAGUGGGUCUUGAGUAUGCUGCAGCUAGGAAUCUGGUGCCUGAGAAGGGACAUGGUAAUGAGAUUUAUGAGGAGGAAGUGAGGAAGAGACCCCUGGGCAAGAAGUCACCAACAUCGAACCAGACCUUCAGGACAGGUGGAAUUGGAGCAACCCUCUAGGCUAGUGACAGAUGCCAGGCAGAGGAAGUGAGCAGCGGUUCCCCUUCAGCCACAUGGUCACAAGAGGAAACACCAAUGUUCUCAGUAAACUGUGUUGCUAAGCUAGGGUGUUCAAUGCGUUUUCAGGUUAUAUACUUUCAACUAUAAUGGUCUCAUUGGGACAUAACUCCAUCAAAAGUUGAGCAGCAGCAUCAAAUAGAUGUAUUUUAGGGUAUAUAAAUAAUACCUCCCUAAAGCCCUUAAAAACAAUUUUCAGGGUUGCAGCUAUAGCUCAGCAGUACAGAACUUGCUUAGCAUGUGUGAGGCCCUGGGCUUAAUUCUCAGUUCUGCCAAACAAAAUAAACAAGUUUCCUUGCUUACCAGUGGCUCUGAUGGGCUCACAUGCCCAUUUCUGAACCUGUCACUGGGUGAAAGGAAUGCGAUGCACUGAUUAGUCAGGCUGCAGCCAAAGCUACUCACCGGAGACAGGGAUAAAGUCCGCUUCAUCCAAAGCACGGUGAUGGGGUGGGAAGGAAGUGGUUUCCCAGUGUAAAAGCAGGUGAAUGGAUGCAGCCUCUUAAAGUCUAAGGACCAGCGUUGCGCUAGGACAAAUCCAGGCUUCCAGGGCCUCUCUGAACUCACUUUUAGGUCCAGCACAGGCCGACCCACAGUCACAUUCCUACCUUGUGAAGCUUUACUUCUGUUUUUCUUGCCUUCUGUAUCGCAGAUGUCAAAGUGAGCAAAAUAUGAUGAAAGUAGGCAGAAUUCAUGCUAUAUUCCCAUUUUUAAAAACACUGUCAUAGUCAUACAAAUUGAGAAAGUCCUUAUCUUCAGCCUCACAUUAUUACUUACUGCUGGAUUGACUGAACCUGGGUCCUGCCCAGUGUCCGCUGGAACCUCCUCCCAG